This is a long non-coding RNA of Corticium candelabrum, 283 nucleotides long. RefSeq lists it as uncharacterized. Lineage: Eukaryota; Metazoa; Porifera; Homoscleromorpha; Homosclerophorida; Plakinidae. The transcript is spliced from 4 exons. The record is from RefSeq and is a predicted model, not a curated record.
UGAGUAUACAGGAGAGUGAGUUGCAAUGUGUAACAUUUCGUAAAGAAUUCUCGGGUGAGAUGAACAAACCGAACAAGGUAGUAAUGGAAGCUCUCGGAGAUAACAGACCUGACACUGCAUUGUGGGAAAUAUCAAGAAACGAUUGUUCGGUUGCUGCUUGCUUUACUAGAAUGAAAGUGAAAGAGACGAUUGUUGCAAGUGGUGUAUAUAACAGACUUGAUGAGAUUAGAGGUGUUGAGGAGGACAUAGAGUUGAAGUUAUCACAGACAUCACAAGUACAACA